UACGGGGGGAGCAAGCGUUGUUCGGAUUUACUGGGCGUAAAGGGCGCGUAGGCGGUCAGCACAAGUCAGUUGUGAAAUCUCCGGGCUUAACUCGGAAAGGUCAACUGAUACUGUGCGACUAGAGUGCAGAAGGGGCAACUGGAAUUCUCGGUGUAGCGGUGAAAUGCGUAGAUAUCGGGAGGAAUACCGAUGGCGAAGGCAGGUCUCUGGGCUGACACUGACGCUCAUGCACGAAAGCGUGGGGAGCAAACAGG
RNAcentral lists this ribosomal RNA (254 nucleotides) under uncultured bacterium. RNAcentral's name for it is "partial 16S ribosomal RNA". It matches the Rfam family "Bacterial small subunit ribosomal RNA", at positions 524 to 776 of the family's 1533-position model. The record is from RNAcentral.